CCUACGGGAGGCAGCAGUGAGGAAUAUUGGUCAAUGGGCGCGAGCCUGAACCAGCCAAGUAGCGUGAAGGAUGACUGCCCUACGGGUUGUAAACUUCUUUUAUAAAGGAAUAAAGUGAGGCACGUGUGCCUUUUUGUAUGUACUUUAUGAAUAAGGAUCGGCUAACUCCGUGCCAGCAGCCGCGGUAAUACGGAGGAUCCGAGCGUUAUCCGGAUUUAUUGGGUUUAAAGGGUGCGUAGGCGGCCUUUUAAGUCCGCGGUGAAAGUCUGUGGCGCAACCAUAGAAUUGCCGUUGAAACUGGGGGGCUUGAGUAGGUUUGAGGCAGGCGGAAUGCGUGGUGUAGCGGUGAAAUGCUUAGAUAUCACGCAGAACCCCGAUGGCGAAGGCAGCCUGCCAAGCCAUGACUGACGCUGAUGCACGAAAGCGUGGGGAUCAAACAGGAUUAGAUACCCUAGUAGUC
RNAcentral lists this ribosomal RNA (460 nucleotides) under uncultured bacterium. Its description in RNAcentral is "partial 16S ribosomal RNA". It matches the Rfam family "Bacterial small subunit ribosomal RNA", at positions 338 to 795 of the family's 1533-position model. The record is from RNAcentral.